RNAcentral lists this ribosomal RNA (3239 nucleotides) under Listeria monocytogenes. Its description in RNAcentral is "bacterial LSU rRNA". It matches the Rfam family "Bacterial large subunit ribosomal RNA". The record is from RNAcentral. Lineage: Bacteria; Bacillati; Bacillota; Bacilli; Caryophanales; Listeriaceae.
UUUUAAGUUAGAAAGGCGCACGGUGGCAUGCCUUGGCACUAGGAGGCCCGAAGAAGGCACGGGACUAACACCGAUAAUGCUUUUGGGGAGCUGUAACGUAAGCCGUUGAUUCCCAGAGAUUUCCGAAUGGGGGGAACCCAACUAUCUUUUUUUAGUCCGAUAGUAUUCCUUACGUGAAUACAUAGAGGGCGCCCCGGGGGGGGGUGAGGAAGGCAGACCGCCAGGGAAGCUGAAAACAUCUAAGUACCUGGAGGAAGAGAAAGAAAAAUCGAUUUCCUGAGUAGCGGCGAGCGAAACGGAAAGAGCCCAAACCAAGAGCUUGCUUCUUGGGGUUGUAGGACACUCUAUACGGAAGUUACAAAAGAGAUAAAAUAAAAUAGAAAGCGGUCCCUGGAAAGGCCCGCCAAAGACGGUAAACAGCCCCGGUUAGUUGAAAUGGCUUUUCCCUCCAGGAGUGGAACAGAGAAAAGACAGGAAACACGUGGGAAAUUCCGUCGGAAAUCCGGGGAGGACCAUCUCCAACGGCUAAAUAAUACCCCAGUGGAACCGAUAGUGAACCAGUACCAAAAAUGGAGGGAAAGGUGAAAAAGCAACCCCGAAGGGAGUUGAAACAGAUAAUACCUAAGAACCCGUGGGGGCCUACAAGUAGUUAUGAGCCCGUUAAUGGGUGACUAGCGUAAAGCAUAUUGUAGAAUGAACCCGGACGAGUAAUAAUAACCGAUAUAUAGGUUUGCAAGAGUAUUCAUAAGCGGAAAACUAGAACAGAAGAGAAGACAGCGAGUCCUGAAUAGGGCGCAUAAGUAAACAGGUCCGUAGACCCGAACACAGGUGGGAUCUACCCAUGUCCCAGGAUGAAGGUAACGGGUAAUACUUACCGGAGGUCCGAACCCACUGCACGUUGAAAAGUGCGGGGAAUGAGUGUGGGGGUAGACGGAGAAAUUCCAUAGACAAAUAGGAGAUAAGACAUGGUUCUCCCUCGAAAUACGCUUUAGGGCUAAGCCUCGAGGUAAAGAGUCCCAUGGAGGUAGAAGCACUGUUUGGACCCUAGGGGCCCUUUCUCGGGUUACCCGAAUUUCAGAUAAACUCCGCGAAUGCCAUGUAACUCUAUAACUCGGGGGAGUCAGGACUGCGGAGUGAUAAGAUCCCGUAGUCGAAAGGGAAACAGCCCAGACCAACAGUUUAAGGUCCCCCAAAUAUAUGUUAAGUGGAAAAGGAUGUGGGUUUGCUUCUAGACCAACCCAGGGAUGUUGGCUUAGAAGGCAGCCACCAUUGAAGAGAGUGCGUAUUAGCUCAACUCGGAAUCGCAGUCGACCCCCAGCGCCGAAAAUGUACGGGGCUAAACAUAAUAGCCCCAAACUGGUGGAUGGAACCUCUUUAGAGGUUCGUGGGUAGGAGAGGCGUUCUAAGGGCGGUUGAAGUCAGACCGGAAGGACUGUGGUGGAGCGCCUUAAAAAGUGGGAGAUAUGCCGGUAUGAGUCAGCGAAAGAGAGGGCUGAGAAUCCCUUCCACCGAAUAUCUAAGGUUUUUCCUGAGGAAGGCUCGUUCCCGCUCAGGGUUAGUCGGGACACUAAAGCCCGAGGCCGAUAGGCCGUAGCGCCGCAUGGAAAACACGGGAAGAGUUCCUCCUGUACCAGUGCUUAAUUUGUAAAACGAUGGGUCGUGACACAGGAAGGGAUAUGGGAGGGCCGCCGCCGCGCGCCACCGGCGGAAUCGCACGAAUGAAAUGUGCGCUCCAAGCAAGUGAGUGUGAGAAGGUAGGCAAAUCCCGCUUCUCGCCGAGCAUGAAGGCUGCUGAUGGGGAAGGAAAAUUAAGUAAGCCGAAGUUCUGAUCUCCUCCCACGCCUCGCUCCGACCCGACAACACACGCGCUCUAGCAACGAAGGCUAGUAGAGCCUGCCCGUACCCGCAAACCGACAGCAAGGUAGAUGAGGAGAGAAUCCUACAGGGUGAGCGAGAAGAACUCUCGUCGUAAGGAAACUCGCGCCAAAAUGACCCCGUAACUUCGGGAGAAGGGGUGGCUUCCUAUUAGGGUGGCAAGCCCCGAGACAGCCGCAGUGAAUAGGCCCCAGGCCGGGACUGUUUAGCAAAAACACCCUAGGUCUCCUUCCUGCAAAAACCGUAAGGUGACGUAGAGGGCCUGACGCCUGGCCCCGGUGGCUGGGAAAGUUUUAAAGCAAGGAGUGGCCCUUAGCUUCGGCGAAGGUACGCAAUUGAAGCCCCAGUCAAACGGCCGGCCGUACAACCUAUAUUACGGCCCUAAGGUAGGCGAAAUUCCUUGUCGGGUAAGUUUCCGACCCGCAACGAAGGCGCAACGAUAUGGGGCACAGUCCUCAUACGAGAGACCCCGGGAAAAUUAUAGUACCUGUGAAGAUGCAGGUUACCCGCGACAGGACGGAAAGACCCCGUGGAGCUUUACUGCAACCUGAUAUGGAAUGUUUGUACCGCUUGUACAGGAUAGGUAGGAGCCGAAGAGACGUGUGCGCUAGCAUACGAGGAGGCAAUGGUGGGAUACUACCCUGGCUGUAUGACCAUUCUAACCCGCCACGCUUAGCGCGUGGGGAGACAGUGUCAGGUGGGCAGUUUGACUGGGGCGGUCGCCUCCUAAAGAGUAACGGAGGCGCCCAAAGGUUCCCUCAGAAUGGAUGGAAAUCAUUCGCAGAGUGUAAAGGCACAAGGGGACUUGACUGCGAGACUGACAAGUCGAGCAGGGACGAAAGUCGGGCUUAGUGAUCCGGUGGUUCCGCAUGGAAGGGCCAUCGCUCAACGGAUAAAAGCUACCCCGGGGAUAACAGGCUUAUCUCCCCCAAGAGUCCACAUCGACGGGGAGGUUUGGCACCUCGAUGUCGGCUCGUCGCAUCCUGGGGCUGUAGUCGGUCCCAAGGGUUGGGCUGUUCGCCCAUUAAAGCGGCACGCGAGCUGGGUUCAGAACGUCGUGAGACAGUUCGGUCCCUAUCCGUCGCGGGCGCAGGAAAUUUGAGAGGAGCUGUCCUUAGUACGAGAGGACCGGGAUGGACACACCGCUGGUGUACCAGUUGUUCCGCCAGGAGCAUCGCUGGGUAGCUAUGUGUGGCAGGGAUAAACGCUGAAAGCAUCUAAGCGUGAAGCCCCCCUCAAGAUGAGAUUUCCCAUUUCUUCGGAAAGUAAGAUCCCUGAAAGAUGAUCAGGUAGAUAGGUUUGGAGUGGAAGUGUAGCGAUACAUGGAGCGGACAAAUACUAAUCGAUCGAGGACUUAACCAAAA